This 106-nucleotide non-coding RNA is filed under the name Herbaspirillum sp. Its description in RNAcentral is "TPP sequence". It matches the Rfam family "TPP riboswitch aptamer (THI element)". Rfam says of the family: Vitamin B(1) in its active form thiamin pyrophosphate (TPP) is an essential coenzyme that is synthesised by coupling of pyrimidine and thiazole moieties in bacteria. Lineage: Bacteria; Pseudomonadati; Pseudomonadota; Betaproteobacteria; Burkholderiales; Oxalobacteraceae. The record is from RNAcentral.
UCGCAACGCUAGGGGUCCUGGCAGCCAGUGCAUCGGCAGCCGGGUGAGAAAUACCCUUGAACCUGAUCUGGAUAAUGCCAGCGAAGGGAAGCAAUCGGCAGCACGA